ACAUACUAGUUGCGGACAAAUUAUUUUAGGUCAAUAUUACAACCUAACAAUUGCGGACACGCAUUUCGUUAUCAUAAUACUAAUUGCGUACAGAGAUUAUUUUUAAUAAAAACCACGUGAUUUGCGGACACAAAUAUUUCCCUUCACCACUUUUCAGGACUUAGGACAAGCUACCAAAAAAUUGGUAGGUGGGGUUAAAAAUAUGUGUGUCUUGCAAAAGUGCAAUCGUUAUUUUUAAAAUUAUUUAAAGUUAGGUACUGUAUUAGGUAUAUAAUAUUACUAUUUAAAAUUUUAAAUUUUGUGCCAGCAUUCGUUUGGCCCUAUUCAUACUAAAAAUUACUAUUAUAUUAAAUAUAUUUAAUUGAAUUUAUUUAAUAUACUCUACGUUUAAAUAUUAAUAGUAACAUAAACAAAAUUAAUUUAUAAAACAUGAGCACGAUGAUUGCAGAUUGAUUAGAUUUUGGAGGGAUUUGGUAUCAUAGAAUCUAUAUUGUACAAUAUCUCACAUAGUACUGAUGUUAGAAACGAGAUUAGCACAUUUUAUGAAAAUUUAAAUUACAUAGAAUUUUAAAUAAACACUUGGCAUAAAUAUAAUUUGGAAUUAAUUUAUGUAAACUUUUAUUAAAAAUGUACUAUCUCAAAAUUAUAAUUAAAAAAAAUAUUAAGUACGUUUUGGAUAAAAACUAUUUAAUCACUGAUACCAAAUAUAUAGGAAAAAGAGCGUUUUGCUUGAUAAUGGAAAUAGACCUUUUUGAAAAAUAAUGAAGGAAAUAGUACGUUUUGCAGAAGUUACUAUGUAAGGUAUAUUUUUAACAUUGGAAAAGGUCCAUUUUGAAGCAAAAUGGAAAAAGAACGUUUUGCAUUGAAAGUUACUUUGGAAAAGGAACGUUUUGCAGAAAACAUAGUUUUUGAAUCAACGUUUUCUUAAGGAAAUAGUGCUUUUUGGAUUAAAAUAAUGGUACCAGUCGAUUCCCCAUACAAUUAACGAUAAGAAUCAAUGUAUAACUCAAUUUUCUUAAAAAUGGAAAAAGUACGUUUUGCAUUGAAGCCCCUCAAUUGGACAUUUGUCCGCAAUUCGUAUCUAUAUUUGUGUCCGCAUUUCGUAUAUUACCUUUUUAGAUUUCGUCCGCAACUCGUAUAGUUUUUGUCACUUUGUCCGCAAUUCGGAAACACCGCCACACAGCGCUGUUUGUAGUGCCAAAGGUUGCCAUAGUAGUGAUCACGUCAUCGUUAGUUUUUAAAUAUUAAUGUAACUCAAAAAAGUCGGUUAGUAGAGUGGCCAUUUCACGUCAAGGCUAAAUUUAUAUUAAAGUUUUAAAAUUGAAAUUCUAUUAAUACACAAUAUUUUUUUUUUUUACUCAUAACACAACUAAAACGAAUUUUUAUUACUAACAUUAAAUGAUUACUUGAAAAAAUAAAAAAAAAUGAUCAAAAAAUAACCUACAUGAUCACCUGUAAUGUACAGUAGUACACAAAUGGUGAAACAAAAAUAUUAACCUAGUGUAGUUGUCAACAUAAAAAGUAAAAGGAAAAAUGAGUAACGUGGCCAAUUAAUUAUACGAAAUUCUGUGAUGACAAAAUAUGAAGGCAGAAAAUGAAUUAGGUAAUUGCAUUUAUCAAUGAAGUAAAUAUGUUCAAUCAAGUUGUUUUUGUUACCGGACACUUCUCUUUACUCUUUAUACAUAUGAGUAAUGAAAAAAACUCAUCCUGUCGACAAACAGGGAUUUGAAAUCAGAGAAAAGGAGAAAUCUCAUUAAAUUCAUUUCGGAAACGGGAUUUUUCGCUUCAGUCUCACGUAGUAACUGGAAAAAAACUAUAGUUUAUACGUCAUUGCGCCAAGUGCAAUAUAAAUAAAAGAAUAUAAAAUAUAAUUAUUAUUUUUUUUUUUUUU
This is a long non-coding RNA of Aphis gossypii (cotton aphid), 1891 nucleotides long. RefSeq lists it as uncharacterized. Lineage: Eukaryota; Metazoa; Arthropoda; Insecta; Hemiptera; Aphididae. The record is from RefSeq and is a predicted model, not a curated record. The transcript is spliced from 3 exons.